CUUGCCACCCUGAACUUUCUGCUUUUGAAAGCUAAGCAGGGUCAGCCCUGGUUAGUAUUUGGAUGGGAGACUUCCAGGGCAUACCAGGAGUCUCCAAGU
Molecule: ribosomal RNA, 99 nt
Filed under: Pogona vitticeps (central bearded dragon)
Lineage: Eukaryota; Metazoa; Chordata; Lepidosauria; Squamata; Agamidae
Source: RNAcentral